RNAcentral lists this ribosomal RNA (468 nucleotides) under uncultured bacterium. RNAcentral describes it as "partial 16S ribosomal RNA". It matches the Rfam family "Bacterial small subunit ribosomal RNA", at positions 28 to 507 of the family's 1533-position model. The record is from RNAcentral.
GACGAACGCUGGCGGCGUGCUUAACACAUGCAAGUCGAACGGAAAGGCCCUGCUUUUGUGGGGUGCUCGAGUGGCGAACGGGUGAGUAACACGUGAGUAACCUGCCCUUGACUUUGGGAUAACUUCAGGAAACUGGGGCUAAUACCGGAUAGGAGCUCCUGCUGCAUGGUGGGGGUUGGAAAGUUUCGGCGGUUGGGGAUGGACUCGCGGCUUAUCAGCUUGUUGGUGGGGUAGUGGCUUACCAAGGCUUUGACGGGUAGCCGGCCUGAGAGGGUGACCGGCCACAUUGGGACUGAGAUACGGCCCAGAAUCCUACGGGAGGCAGCAGUGGGGAAUAUUGCACAAUGGGCGGAAGCCUGAUGCAGCAACGCCGCGCGCGGGAUGACGGCCUUCGGGUUGUAAACCGCUUUCGCCUGUGACGAAGCGUGAGUGACGGUAAUGGGUAAAGAAGCACCGGCUAACUACGUG